Long non-coding RNA from Quercus robur (English oak), 4021 nucleotides. RefSeq lists it as uncharacterized. The record is from RefSeq and is a predicted model, not a curated record. The transcript is spliced from 2 exons. NCBI's taxonomy places the organism in Eukaryota, Viridiplantae, Streptophyta, Magnoliopsida, Fagales, Fagaceae.
AUUAUAACACUUACUACAAUGGAGCUCCUAAUGAAAAAAAAAAGUGUUCUUGAGUAAAGUUUCCGAGUCUUUGUGGGCUUGGGGGUCUUGUUUUUUUUUUUUUGUUCUAUGAAACUAUAUACUGCUGUUUUCACUAUAUUUUCAUAUUUAUUUCUUAUAAUGGUAUGACAUACCAACAUCAAAACAUUAUAUGAAGCACGGACACACCAAAAAGGGUAAUGUGUCAGUGUCUGAUAUGGGUACACACAAGGGGCUGCAUGUGUGUCCCCUGAGUGUACACUGAAAUUCUAAUGUUGACAUGGCCUGGACACAGUCACAACUCAGUAAGGAUACUGCUGAUAAAAACAAAAAAAAGAAGGAAAAAACGUAGAUCUUUUCUAGCUGCCACGAUCUCCACUGUCCAUAGAUCUGUCCUUAGUCUUCAAAUUUCGUUCUCUCCCCAUUGCAGUGCCUGCCUUAGAUUUGAUGUUCAAUCAGCCACCGGGACCCAUCAACAGACCAUUGCAACUCUCUUGCCCUCACUCUUCUCUUUUCUCAUACCUCUCUCACCCUCUUUGGUGAUGGCAGCCCAUCGCACCUCUCUUGCCAGCACCCUUCUCUGUUCUCUGAUACUUUUUAUUUAAUUUUUUUUUAAUUCUAGAACUAAUGAAUAGUGACUACUAUUCUAAAGUGUAGGAACUAAUGAAUAUUAACUACUAUUCUAAAGUGUCAUGAUCCCUACUCACUUUUACUGUUUUGCAUUUGUUUUAAUUGUUGUAUAGUCAUUGGAGCUCUGUUUGUUUAUUUAUUUUUAUUAAUUGAUGUAAUGAAUAAAAAUAAUGUUACUAUGUAGAUCAUUUACUUGCAUUUAGGGGCGGAACUAGAAUUUUGAAGAUUUUAACUAAAUUUAAGGGUAAUUUUUUAAUUAUUGAAAAGUUUGGGGGGGCCAUGGCCCCCACAACUCAAUGAGUAGUUCCGCCCUUGCUUGCAUUAUUCUAUUUUAUUUAUUAAAUUGAAUUAUUUGACUGCUACUAGUAAAAUUAGAUAUGCUUUUAAACAUUUUGAUGGUUGUUCAUUAUUUUUAAAACCUAAAAUAAACAUAAUUUAUUCCUUAAAAUAUGCCUAAAUAUAAAUUUUAAUUAAUUAAUUAACUACCGUAUCCCCAGCGCAUUGUACCCUAGUUUUUUUAAGAAAUGGCAUAUCUGUGUCAGGUCGUAUCGGUGUCCAUGCUUCCUAUGCCUCCGUCCCUUUCUAAAGAUCUAAAUGUGUUCCUUGUUGGUUUUCUUUUGAUCACAAAGCUAGUGGUGGAAAUGGCACUUUGAAGUGUCAUGCCUCAACUGAUGAAGCAUUAAAAGUCAAUCAAUUUUUUUGUGAAUUUGACGUGUUACAAUUUGAAUGGUUGAAAUUGCUUUGAAAUAGCUACCUUCUAUGUAUGCCUUGAAAUGAAAAAUGUCAAGAGCACGUUAAAUCUAAUAGCCAUUUCAAGUGACACCAUACUGUUAUUUUAGUGCAGAUCUUGGCAUCAACUAAAUCACUUUUAAUCCAGAGAAAAUCAAAGCCAUGAAAAUAAAAUCUCAGUCACCAACUGCUGUUGAUGUGGAGGAAUGAUCUUUUCCUUUUGAACUACAUCUCGUCAAACAGAGCCCAAUAACUCUUAAUGCUAUCUCCUGCCACUGAUCUUGCCUCGGCUACACUUCUCAAACAGUAGAGAAAACAAAAUGAUGUAGUUCUCUAGCAGCUGAAUAGUGUAAAUGAUUUUUAGUAUUGCUCCAUCCCUGAAGUGUAUUCUCUACUAGUUAGUUUUGAUAUGUCCUCUCUUGAUUAGAUUUUCUACCUGAUUAAAUCUCCUUAACUCCACUUUCCACUCAAAUGAAUUUCACUUUGGUAAGCAUUCCAAUCCUGCCAGAUACUAUGAAAUUGCAUAGUUUUCUGUUGAUGACCCUUUAGAAUCUUAUAAUUACUUGAUCUCGGGGGGGAUGGACCUCCAAGCUAGAUAGAGGGGUACAUGGGUUUGGUUUGUGGAGAAGUAUCCGAAUGGGUUGGGAGGUUUUUAGCAAAAAUAUUCAGUUUGAGAUAGGGGUGGGGGAUAGAGUGAAGCUUUGGACAGAUCAAUGGUGUGGGGAGUAUCCACUUCACAUAAUCUUUCCGGGUGUGUAUAGGAUUGCUUCCAAUAAAGAGGCAUCAGUGGCUUCCUCUCUUGAACGGUUAGGGAUUGAGGAACGGAGAAGUUGGGAUGUUCAUUUCAUUCAGAGACCAAAUGAUUGGGAAAUGGGUGGUGUUCUGUACUUUGGGUUCUAAUUUACCUCAUACUGAGAAUGGAGAUUGUAUGCGAUGGAAGUUGAUGAAGAAUGGGGAUUUUGACAUCCAAUCGUUUUAUAAUAAGUUAAGAAACCCUUUGCCCAUAAUCUUUCCUUGGAAAGGUGUUUGGAAGGUUCAGGCUCCUCGGCGAGUUUCUUUCUUUGUGUGGACUGUUGUAUGGAAUAAGAUCCUUACAUGUGACAAUUUGAGGGGUAGAGGGAUGGAUUUUGUUGACUGGUGCAUUAUGUGUCGUUGUAAUGGAGAGAUGGUAGAUCAUUUGCUACUUCAUUGUGGUAAGGCUUACUGGUUGUGGAGUUUGGUUUUUAGAUCUUUUGGGAUUUCUUGGGUCUUGCCAAAAUCCGUUGCGGAUGCUCUCUUUGGUUGGUGGAAUUGGCCUAGAAAGCAUUCGUCUAGCAUUUGGAAUUUAGCUCCGUUGUACUUAAUGUGGUCUCUAUGAAGGAAACGAAAUUGGAGGACGUUUGAGGACAUGAAAAGUUUUGAUGACCAGCUAUUGGCUUCUUUUAGUGGCUCACUUUUUGACUGGUCUAGGGCUUGGGGAAUCACCACUAGUGAUUCUCUCCCUAUGUUCCUUAGCUCUGUCCUUUGUAAUUAGUAGCUUUUCUUUUUUCUUUGUUCUUUUUCCCGUUCUUUCUCUGCCUUAUGUUUUUCUGCAUAAGGUAGUGUUCCUAAAUAUACAUCCUUAUUACUUAUCAAAAAAAAAAAAUUACUUGAUCUCAGAAUCCUCUCCUUUAGUUGGUCUUAGUCACUUGUUUGCUGUCCAUAUGCCCGAUCUCUUAGCUUUAUGUAGGCAUUCCCACCCCCUUCGCAUUCAUGAGUUACCAUUAAUGAGGCUUCUUAAUAAACUUCAAAAGUUUAUGCCUUGAAUACUUGGAGUUCUUCAAAACCUCUUCCCAAAACUUACUCCAUUAACUACAAAGGCCCCCAGAAUUCCUUCAUCUCAAAUUCCAAUAAGCAAAGUUUCUUUGUUUUCAGCACAUGCAUUGGAAAGAUCAUCAAUUGGGAGAUCAAGUUGCAAAAUAUAUUAGAAGGAUACACAGGAUUGAAUUUUUUUUCUUAGUAAAAAAAAAUAUUUAUGUUCAACUGCUUCAAUUGAAAUUGGUUUUUCUGUAUUAAUUUCCAUAAUUCUUCUUAUUAGAUGUGAAAUGAUUGUUAGAAUCACUUAGAAAAGAAGACAUAAAUGAUUGUCUAGUCCUCUUAUUGAUGUUUUUCCUUGGAAGAGUAUUUGGUGUGUAAAGAUGCCUAAAGGGUGUCUUUCUUUUUAUGGAUAGCAACUCAGAGUGGGAUACUUACCGUUGAUAAUCUUGUUAAGAGAGUUUAGUCCCUAGUUAAUUGGUGUUGUUGCAAUGGGGAAACCAUGGACCAUCUUUUGCUCCACUGAAUUGGUUUGGGGAACACUUGUCCAAUAUUUGGAAUAUGGUUCCAGCAUGUAUAAUGCAGUUGGUUUGGCAGGAACGCAGUACCCGUACCUUUGAAGAUAUUGAGAGACCUUUAGAUCUUUUCAAAGGUGUGGGGAGUCUGUGGACCACCUUCUUCUUCAUUGCCCAAUAGCUUACAGGUUCUGGACAAUGGUGUUUUAUCUUUUUGGGCUCCAAUGGGUUAUACCAAAGAGGGUUAUCGAUUUAUUCUCUACAUGGCAGGGACCCUUUGGAAAGCAUAGAAAUAUAGCCUUCUGGAAGGCUAUGCCACAUUGCAUUGUGUAGUGUUUGUGGUGUGAAUGGAAUGC